RNAcentral lists this ribosomal RNA (401 nucleotides) under Salmonella enterica. RNAcentral's name for it is "bacterial SSU rRNA". It matches the Rfam family "Bacterial small subunit ribosomal RNA", at positions 71 to 472 of the family's 1533-position model. The record is from RNAcentral. Lineage: Bacteria; Pseudomonadati; Pseudomonadota; Gammaproteobacteria; Enterobacterales; Enterobacteriaceae.
GGAAGCAGUUUGCUGCUUUGCUGACGAGUGGCGGACGGGUGAGUAAUGUCUGGGAAACUGCCUGAUGGAGGGGGAUAACUACUGGAAACGGUGGCUAAUACCGCAUAACGUCGCAAGACCAAAGAGGGGGACCUUCGGGCCUCUUGCCAUCAGAUGUGCCCAGAUGGGAUUAGCUAGUUGGUGAGGUAACGGCUCACCAAGGCGACGAUCCCUAGCUGGUCUGAGAGGAUGACCAGCCACACUGGAACUGAGACACGGUCCAGACUCCUACGGGAGGCAGCAGUGGGGAAUAUUGCACAAUGGGCGCAAGCCUGAUGCAGCCAUGCCGCGUGUAUGAAGAAGGCCUUCGGGUUGUAAAGUACUUUCAGCGGGGAGGAAGGUGUUGUGGUUAAUAACCGCAG